RNAcentral lists this transfer RNA (75 nucleotides) under Erysipelothrix sp. RNAcentral describes it as "tRNA-Arg". It matches the Rfam family "tRNA". From Rfam's summary of the family: Transfer RNA (tRNA) molecules are approximately 80 nucleotides in length. Their secondary structure includes four short double-helical elements and three loops (D, anti-codon, and T loops). The record is from RNAcentral. Lineage: Bacteria; Bacillati; Bacillota; Erysipelotrichia; Erysipelotrichales; Erysipelotrichaceae. RNAcentral also lists the same sequence under 1 other name.
GCCCCUGUAGUUAAAUGGAUAUAACAAACCCCUCCUAAGGGUUAAUUAUCAGUUCAAUUCUGGUCGGGGGCGCCA